This 97-nucleotide microRNA precursor is filed under the name Bos taurus (domestic cattle). RNAcentral describes it as "mir-544 microRNA precursor family". It matches the Rfam family "mir-544 microRNA precursor family". The record is from Rfam by way of RNAcentral. RNAcentral also lists the same sequence under 4 other names. Lineage: Eukaryota; Metazoa; Chordata; Mammalia; Artiodactyla; Bovidae.
AUCUCCCAGGGAUCUUGUUAACAUGCAGAUUCUGAUUCAGCAGGUCUGGGGUGGGGCCUGAGAGUCUGCAUUUCCAGCAAGUCCCAAGUGAUGCUGA